RNAcentral lists this ribosomal RNA (453 nucleotides) under uncultured bacterium. Its description in RNAcentral is "partial 16S ribosomal RNA". It matches the Rfam family "Bacterial small subunit ribosomal RNA", at positions 43 to 523 of the family's 1533-position model. The record is from RNAcentral.
CAUGCUUAACACAUGCAAGUCGAACGAAUAAGAGCCCAAGCUUGCUUGGGAGUUCUGUUAGUGGCAUACGGGUGAGUAACGCGUGGGAAUCUGCCCAGUAGUACGGAAUAACAGCUGGAAACGACUGCUAAUACCGUAUACGCUCUCCGGGGGAAAGAUUUAUUGCUAUUGGAUGAGCCCGCGUUAGAUUAGCUAGUUGGUAAGGUAAUGGCUUACCAAGGGUACGAUAUAUAGCUGGUCUGGGAGGAUGACCAGCCACAGUGUGACAGAGACACGGCACAGACUCCGACGGGAGGCAGCGGUGGGGAAGAUUGGAGAAUGGGCGAACGCCUGAUCCAGCAAUGCCGCGUGAAUGAUGAAGGCCUUAGGGUUGUAAAGCUCUUUUACCCGGGAUGAUAAUGACAGUACCGGGAGAAUAAGCUCCGGCUAACUCCGUGCCAGCCGCCGCCGUAA